CCUACGGGUGGCAGCAGUGAGGAAUAUUGGUCAAUGGUCGGGAGCCUGAACCAGCCAAGCCGCGUGAGGGAGGACGGUCCUGUGUAUUGUAAACCUCUUUUGUCAGGGAACAAAGGCGGGGACGUGUGCCCGGAUGAGUGUACCCGAAGAAAAAGCAUCGGCUAACUCCGUGCCAGCAGCCGCGGUAAUACGGAGGAUGCGAGCGUUAUCCGGAUUUAUUGGGUUUAAAGGGUGCGUAGGCGGACUGUUAAGUCAGCGGUCAAAGUCCGGUGCUCAACCCCGGCCCGCCGUUGAAACUGGCAGUCGCGAGAUGGAGAGAGGUAUGCGGAAUGCGCGGUGUAGCGGUGAAAUGCAUAGAUAUCGCGCAGAACUCCGAUUGCGAAGGCAGCAUGCCGGCGCCGCUCUGACGCUGAGGCACGAAAGCGUGGGUAUCGAACAGGAUUAGAUACCCUAGUAGUC
This 459-nucleotide ribosomal RNA is filed under the name uncultured bacterium. RNAcentral's name for it is "partial 16S ribosomal RNA". It matches the Rfam family "Bacterial small subunit ribosomal RNA", at positions 338 to 795 of the family's 1533-position model. The record is from RNAcentral.